GGCUCGUUGGUGUAGUUGGUUAUCACGUCAGUCUAACACACUGAAGGUCCUGAGUUCGAGCCUCAGAUGAGUCA
This 74-nucleotide transfer RNA is filed under the name Pyrenophora tritici-repentis Pt-1C-BFP. Its description in RNAcentral is "tRNA-Val (AAC) (tRNA-Val-AAC-2-1)". It matches the Rfam family "tRNA". From Rfam's summary of the family: Transfer RNA (tRNA) molecules are approximately 80 nucleotides in length. Their secondary structure includes four short double-helical elements and three loops (D, anti-codon, and T loops). Further hydrogen bonds mediate the characteristic L-shaped molecular structure. tRNAs have two regions of fundamental functional importance: the anti-codon, which is responsible for specific mRNA codon recognition, and the 3' end, to which the tRNAs corresponding amino acid is attached (by aminoacyl-tRNA synthetases). tRNAs cope with the degeneracy of the genetic code in two manners: having more than one tRNA (with a specific anti-codon) for a particular amino acid; and 'wobble' base-pairing, i.e. permitting non-standard base-pairing at the 3rd anti-codon position. The record is from RNAcentral. Lineage: Eukaryota; Fungi; Ascomycota; Dothideomycetes; Pleosporales; Pleosporaceae.